GGGGAAUUUUGGACAAUGGGCGCAAGCCUGAUCCAGCCAUGCCGCGUGGGUGAAGAAGGCCUUCGGGUUGUAAAGCCCUUUUGUUGGGAAAGAAAAGCAGCCGGCCAAUACCCGGUUGUUCUGCCGGUACCCAAAGAAUAAGCACAGGCUAACUUCGUGCCAGCAGCCGCGGUAAUACGAAGGGUGCAAGCGUUACUCGGAAUUACUGGGCGUAAAGCGCGCGUAGGUGGUUUGGUAAGAUGGAUGUGAAGUCCCCGGGCUCAACCUGGGAACUGCAUCCAUAACUGCCUGACUAGAGUACGGUAGAGGGUGGUGGAAUUUCCUGUGUAGCGGUGAAAUGCGUAGAUAUAGGAAGGAACACCAGUGGCGAAGGCGACCACCUGGACUGAUACUGACACUGAGGUGCGAAAGCGUGGGGAGCAAACA
This 426-nucleotide ribosomal RNA is filed under the name uncultured Pseudomonadaceae bacterium. RNAcentral describes it as "bacterial SSU rRNA". It matches the Rfam family "Bacterial small subunit ribosomal RNA", at positions 356 to 774 of the family's 1533-position model. Lineage: Bacteria; Pseudomonadati; Pseudomonadota; Gammaproteobacteria; Pseudomonadales; Pseudomonadaceae. The record is from RNAcentral.